Entelurus aequoreus (snake pipefish) is the source of this 449-nucleotide long non-coding RNA. RefSeq lists it as uncharacterized. The record is from RefSeq and is a predicted model, not a curated record. The transcript is spliced from 3 exons. Lineage: Eukaryota; Metazoa; Chordata; Actinopteri; Syngnathiformes; Syngnathidae.
AGAGAACCGAGUUUACCACGCGAGGACUGCUGUCGACACAUCUCUGCUAACAAAUAUAAAAUAUUGUGAGAGUCCAGUCCACCCGGAAGCCAUCAAAUAGUCAGGGUGGAAGACUGAUUCUCUUUGGAUCACAACUCUGCUCAGCUAGCACUUCCUCCAGACUGCUACCUCGCCAGAAAUGAUUCCUGACCACCUGGUGUCCUCUCCAGGCAGGAGGGGAGGGACAAAGCAGAGGAGCGGCAGGUCAACUGGUCUAAACAGGAUCCAUCUAUGCACAAGCUAGAGCAUAGAAGGUUGCGGGAUGCUGGAGCCUAUCCCAGCUAUACUCGGGCGGAAGGCAGGGUACACCCUGGACAAGUCGCCAACUCAUCGCAGGCCCAACACAGAUAAACAACAUUCACACAAGGGACUAAAUAGUGAUGCCAAACCGCUUAUUCCCAGGUGUGUGU